Molecule: unclassified non-coding RNA, 339 nt
Filed under: soil metagenome
Description: partial contains 5.8S ribosomal RNA, internal transcribed spacer 2, and large subunit ribosomal RNA
Rfam family: 5.8S ribosomal RNA (bases 1-120)
Source: RNAcentral
GAUGAAGAACGUAGCGAAAUGCGAUACGUAGUGUGAAUUGCAGAAUUCAGUGAAUCAUCGAAUCUUUGAACGCACAUUGCACCUCUCGGUAUUCCGGGAGGUAUGCCUGUUCGAGCGUCAUUUGUACCCUCAAGCUCUGCUUGGUGUUGGGUGUUUGUUCCGCCUCUGUGUGUGAACUCGCCACAAAACAAUUGGCAGCCGGCGUACUUGUUUCGGAGCGCAGCACAUUUUGCGAUCCAGAUCAACGUACAGCGGCAUCCAAGAAGCCUUAUUUAACGCUCUUGACCUCGGAUCAGGUAGGGAUACCCGCUGAACUUAAGCAUAUCAAUAAGCGGAGGA